This 484-nucleotide ribosomal RNA is filed under the name uncultured bacterium. RNAcentral's name for it is "partial 16S ribosomal RNA". It matches the Rfam family "Bacterial small subunit ribosomal RNA", at positions 28 to 507 of the family's 1533-position model. The record is from RNAcentral.
AUUGAACGCUGGCGGCAUGCUUUACACAUGCAAGUCGAACGGCAGCGCGGGCUUCGGCCUGGCGGCGAGUGGCGAACGGGUGAGUAAUGCAUCGGAACGUGCCCAGUAGUGGGGGAUAGCCCGGCGAAAGCCGGAUUAAUACCGCAUACGACCUGAGGGUGAAAGCGGGGGACCGAAAGGCCUCGCGCUAUUGGAGCGGCCGAUGUCGGAUUAGCUAGUUGGUGGGGUAAAGGCUUACCAAGGCGACGAUCCGUAGCUGGUCUGAGAGGACGACCGGCCACACUGGGACUGAGACACGGCCCAGACUCCUACGGGAGGCAGCAGUGGGGAAUUUUGGACAAUGGGGGCAACACUGAUCCAGCCAUGCCGCGUGCGGGAAGAAGGCCUUCGGGUUGUAAACCGCUUUUGUUCGGGAAGAAAUCCUCUGGGCUAAUACCCCGGGGGGAUGACGGUACCGGAAGAAUAAGCACCGGCUAACUACGUG